ACUGGCUGAGCUCAGCUCUCUGGGCCUUUCUUCAGCACUGUGGGUCGUAAAAGCUGCCUUUUCUCUGAAAACUGCGUGCGUCCUCUGGGUUCCCAGCGUUGGUGGGAUGGAGCUGUGGCGUCCAGGCUGUGAGGUCUCAUGGGGUCCUGCAGCAGCCAGAGCGUGCAGAAGACGAGGAAGGGAAGAAAGGUGGUGCUACAGAAUAUUUUAGAAACAGAAAAUGAAUAUUCUAAAGAACUUCAGACUGUGCUUUCAACCUACCUACGGCCAUUGCAGACCAGUGAGAAGUUAAGUUCAGCAAACAUUUCAUAUUUAAUGGGAAAUCUAGAAGAAAUAUGUUCUUUCCAGCAAAUGCUCGUACAGUCUUUAGAAGAAUGCACCAAGUUGCCCGAAGCUCAGCAGAGAGUCGGAGGCUGCUUUUUAAACCUGAUGCCACAGAUGAAAACCCUGUACCUCACGUAUUGUGCCAAUCACCCUUCUGCAGUGAAUGUCCUUACGGAACACAGUGAGGAGUUGGGGGAGUUCAUGGAGACCAAAGGUGCCAGCAGCCCUGGGAUUCUCGUGCUGACCACAGGCCUGAGCAAGCCCUUCAUGCGCCUGGAUAAAUACCCUACGCUGCUCAAAGAGCUCGAGAGACACAUGGAGGAUUAUCAUACAGACAGACAAGAUAUUCAAAAAUCUAUGGCUGCCUUCAAAAACCUUUCAGCCCAAUGUCAAGAAGUCCGGAAAAGGAAAGAGCUUGAGCUGCAGAUCCUGACGGAAGCCAUCCGGAACUGGGAGGGCGAUGACAUUAAAACUCUGGGCAAUGUCACUUACAUGUCCCAGGUCCUGAUUCAGUGUGCUGGAAGUGAGGUACUGCUGCCCACGUGCACGCACCAGGAUUUCUGUCCCACUCUUAGGAGCUUGUAGCAGAAGAUUUUAAAGGCAUCUCAAGCAAUGAAAAUCAUCUUAAUAGAAGCUCUAUCUUAUAAUUUGUGAGCUACUUUUUAUUCUUGACACAGGAGAGAGGCUUAUGGCAUGUUAGAGAGGCUUAGAGCUGAGUGUAGACUUGAUCAGUUUGAUCCAGCUGAAGUCAGUGUGGCCCGAAGCCCACGUGAACUGAAAGAUAGUGUGCAGAAAGACUUGCAGGAGUCCUGUGCACACAUCUGCACGGAGCUGUAUGUGCUUAUCUGGCCAGCAACUUUGUACCAAGGCUCACU
RNAcentral lists this small RNA (1199 nucleotides) under Pongo abelii (Sumatran orangutan). RNAcentral describes it as "processed transcript". The record is from RNAcentral. Lineage: Eukaryota; Metazoa; Chordata; Mammalia; Primates; Hominidae.